This 255-nucleotide ribosomal RNA is filed under the name Lacticaseibacillus paracasei. RNAcentral's name for it is "partial 23S ribosomal RNA". It matches the Rfam family "Bacterial large subunit ribosomal RNA", at positions 2249 to 2503 of the family's 2925-position model. Lineage: Bacteria; Bacillati; Bacillota; Bacilli; Lactobacillales; Lactobacillaceae. The record is from RNAcentral.
AGACAGUGUCAGGUAGGCAGUUUGACUGGGGCGGUCGCCUCCUAAAAUGUAACGGAGGCGCCCAAAGGUUCCCUCAGAAUGGUUGGAAAUCAUUCGCAGAGUGUAAAGGUAUAAGGGAGCUUGACUGUGAGACUGACAAGUCGAGCAGGGACGAAAGUCGGGCUUAGUGAUCCGGUGGUUCCGUAUGGAAGGGCCAUCGCUCAACGGAUAAAAGCUACCCUGGGGAUAACAGGCUUAUCUCCCCCAAGAGUCCAC